UACGGAGGGGGCUAGCGUUGUUCGGAAUUACUGGGCGUAAAGCGCACGUAGGCGGCUUUGUAAGUUAGAGGUGAAAGCCCGGAGCUCAACUCCGGAACUGCCUUUGAGACUGGAUUGCUAGAAUCUUGGAGAGGCGAGUGGAAUUCCGAGUGUAGAGGUGAAAUUCGUAGAUAUUCGGAAGAACACCAGUGGCGAAGGCGGCUCGCUGGACAAGUAUUGACGCUGAGGUGCGAAAGCGUGGGGAGCAAACAGG
RNAcentral lists this ribosomal RNA (253 nucleotides) under uncultured bacterium. Its description in RNAcentral is "partial 16S ribosomal RNA". It matches the Rfam family "Bacterial small subunit ribosomal RNA", at positions 524 to 776 of the family's 1533-position model. The record is from RNAcentral.